UCCCUAGUGGCUCAGUUGGUAAAGAAUCUGCCUGCAAUGCAGGAGACUCAGGUUCAAUACCUGAGCCGGGAA
Molecule: transfer RNA, 72 nt
Filed under: Ovis aries (sheep)
Lineage: Eukaryota; Metazoa; Chordata; Mammalia; Artiodactyla; Bovidae
Rfam family: tRNA
About the family: Transfer RNA (tRNA) molecules are approximately 80 nucleotides in length. Their secondary structure includes four short double-helical elements and three loops (D, anti-codon, and T loops).
Source: Rfam by way of RNAcentral